Molecule: small nuclear RNA, 107 nt
Organism: Callithrix jacchus (white-tufted-ear marmoset)
Lineage: Eukaryota; Metazoa; Chordata; Mammalia; Primates; Cebidae
Source: Ensembl
GUAUUCGCUUCAGCAGCACAUAUACUAAAAUUGGAAUGAUACAGAGAAGAUUAGCAUGGCCCCGGCACAAGGGUGACACACAUAUUUGUGAAGUGUUCCAUAUUUUU